GAAACGGGGGCGACGCGGUGGCCCGGCGAGGCGCUCGGCGGCGGAGGUGCGGAUCCGGUGGUGGCUGCUGUAGGAGGCGGUGGCGGCGCGGAUCCGGGGCCACCAUCGACAAGGUCACCAACGAUGACAAAACUCUUCCGCGGCAAUACAGUGCCCCUCAAGGGAUUCCCGGAUCGAUCCUGCUGCCUGACGCCUGUUCUGACUGACGAGCUUGACUCAUUGCUAUAGACAAUAAGCAGGCCGCCAUCAGAUCCGAAGCUAAGGCAGCAGCAGGCUCACGGGCUCCAUGGAAAGCGACAGGCUUGCGAACAGGAUGGUGACCUUGGGCACGCAACGGGACUGCACGGGGGUCAUCCAGAUUCUAUUUUAGAGGAUAAAAAACUGAUGUUUCUAUGGCUAUGAGCGUGUGUUUCUAUGCCUGAAUGAGUUAAUGGUUACAUAUCAGAGAACCAGAAACUAAUGUUUCUAUGGCUAUGUUUGUGGGCUUUUAUGUUUACGUUUCUAUGCUUUCUAGUAUAGAUUUCUAUACAUGCUAAACUGUGUUUUCGGAUAUUUAUGCAAGGCAUUGUUUCUGUGCUUACAUGCAUAAUAUUCUAUGGAAAGCAUGUUAGUUGCAUCGAUCA
Molecule: long non-coding RNA, 623 nt
Organism: Panicum virgatum (switchgrass)
Lineage: Eukaryota; Viridiplantae; Streptophyta; Magnoliopsida; Poales; Poaceae
Exons: 2
Source: RefSeq, a predicted model, not a curated record